RNAcentral lists this ribosomal RNA (1520 nucleotides) under Heterosigma akashiwo. Its description in RNAcentral is "16S ribosomal RNA". It matches the Rfam family "Bacterial large subunit ribosomal RNA", at positions 1136 to 2774 of the family's 2925-position model. The record is from RNAcentral. Lineage: Eukaryota; Raphidophyceae; Chattonellales; Chattonellaceae.
AACAGAUCACUGGUCGAGUAAUUUUGCACCGAAAAUUUAUGGGCAUUAAAAGAUUCGCCGAAGCGGCAAACUUUUUUAAGUGGUAGCAGAACGUUCUGUGAAAUCAAUGAAGAAAAUUUGAGAAAAUUUUUCGAGAAAUCAGAAGUGAAAAUGCUGACAUGAGUAACAAAAAACAAUGUACAGAAUCAUUGUGGCUGUAAAUCCAAGGGUUUUGACGGAAGGAUUAUCCGCGUCAUGCCAUCUUUCGAUGGACAUAUUAGACGGUCCCUAAGAACGCUGAUGACAAUCAGGUUUGAUGGGUUAAACGUUUCGUUUCUUUAAAAAAAUGACAGAUUCUUAAGAUUAUUUUUAGUUUAUAGAGGAAACUAAAGGUGGUGGACGAAUUUCAGGAAAAAGUUUUUUACUGCACAAACCGUACCUUAAACCAACACAGGUGGAUGGGUGGAAUACACUAAAGCCAAUGAGAGAAUGAUGUUGAAGGAACUCGGCAAAAUGAUUCCGUAACUUCGGAAGAAGGAAUAACCUUGUGAGGGCAACCUUGCAAGGUUGGCACAGAAUUGGGGGUAGCGACUGUUUAAUAAAAACACAGGUCUCUGCAAAUUUGUAAAAAGAUGUAUAGGGACUGACACCUGCCCGGUGCUGUAAGGUUAAACUAUGCUGUUUUGGCAGUGUACAUAAGCCUCAGUAAACGGCGGCUGUAACUCUGACGGUCCAAAGGUAGCGAAAUUCCUUGUCGGGUAAGUUCCGACCUGCAUGAAUGGUGUAACGACUUCCCCGCUGUCUCCAACAUCACCUCAGUGAAAUUGAAAUACCCGUGAAGAUGCGGGUUAUCUGCAGCUAGACGGAAAGACCCCGUGCACCUUUACUAUACCUAAACAUUGAAGAACUCACGAUCAUGUGUAGCAUAAGUGGGAGUUGACGAUCCCUUUGCGCAAGCAAAUUGGGGAGACCAAAGUGAAAUACCACUCUUGAUCUUGAGAACUUCUCACCUCAGGACAGUGUUUAGCGGGUAGUUUGACUGGGGCGGUCGCCUCCUAAAGAGUAACGGAGGCGUACAAAGGUAGGUUUGCGUAGGUCAACAAUCUACGUGUAAGCGUAAUGGUACAAGCCUGCUUGACUGCAAGAGCGACAGCUCGAACAGGAACGAAAGUUGGUCAUAGUGAUCCGGUGAUUUUGCGUGGAAAAAUCAUCGCUCAACGAAUAAAAGGUACGCCGGGGAUAACAGGCUGAUGACUCCCUAGAGCUCCUAUCGACGGAGUCGUUUGGCACCUCGAUGUCGGCUCAUCACAUCCUGGAGCUGAAGAAGGUUCCAAGGGUUCGGCUGUUCGCCGAUUAAAGUGGUACGCGAGCUGGGUUUAGAACGUCGUGAGACAGUUUGGUCCCUAUCUACUGUGGAUGCAUGAAAAUUGAGAGGCCUAGACCUUAGUACGAGAGGACCAGGAAAAGUAAACCUCUGGUGUACCGGUUGUUCUUUCUUAGAGCAUCGCCGGGUAGCUAAGUUUAUGCAUGAUAAUCACUGA